AUUGAACGCUGGCGGCAUGCCUUACACAUGCAAGUCGAGCGGCAGCGCGGGGGCAACCCUGGCGGCGAGCGGCGCACGGGUGAGUAAUACAUCGGAACGUGUCCUUUCGUGGGGGAUAACCAGUCGAAAGACUGGCUAAUACCGCAUGAGAUCUCACGAUGAAAGCGGGGGACCGCAAGGCCUCGCGCGAUUGGAGCGGCCGAUGUCGGAUUAGCAGUUGGCGGGGUAAAAGCCCACCAAGGCGACGAUCCGUAGCUGGUUUGAGAGAACGACCAGCCACACUGGGACUGAGACACGGCCCAGACUCCUACGGGAGGCAGCAGUGGGGAAUUUGGACAAUGGGGGCAACCCUGAUCCAGCCAUGCCGCGUGUGUGAAGAAGGCC
RNAcentral lists this ribosomal RNA (384 nucleotides) under uncultured bacterium. RNAcentral's name for it is "bacterial SSU rRNA". It matches the Rfam family "Bacterial small subunit ribosomal RNA", at positions 29 to 416 of the family's 1533-position model. The record is from RNAcentral.